CUCAUGAUGACCCUUGAACUGGAAUAACUGAUCUUACCUAGCCAUAGGACCUGCUGCCUCUGCCAAUUUAAAACUACUAUUGAAGUUGUCUGCAAGACAGUCAAGCUGCACUGUGACAGUGACUGCCUGGCAAGCACCACACGUUGUGAUGAAGAGGCAUCUGUAGGGAAUGCAGAAGGAUCGUUCUUGAAUGUGUUACAAGCCCAGAAUAAGAGCACCAGCACCGAGCUGAUUAUUGAGCCAGAGAAGGUGUCCUCGGACAGACGUGGUGUCAGCCUGCCAGCCUUCAUCAGUGAGCAGCUAGACUUUAAUGACAGAAUUGAUGUUAUCAGUGCACUAAGUUACGUACUGCCUUAUUUCUUGGAGGGACAUCUAGAAGAUUUAGAAACAGCAUUUUUACCAGUCAUUAAACUUUUUUCAAAUGUACACGAUGGAGAUAAGCCCCUGGGUUAUUUGAAGAAAAAAAAAAGAAAAAGAAAAACCACAAGGAACUGUUCUGUUAAACCUGAAUCCAACAAUUCACUUUAUAAAAGUAAACUGCAGAGAUUCUAUCGUCUGAAAAAAUGGCUUGAUUCAGAAAUGCAAAAGAAAAAACUGAUGAGGUUAAAAACAAAGGAAAAAAACUGCCAUGCUUGUACAUGCUGACCCGUUAGGUCCCGGAUUUAAAUGGCAGAUCUUUGGAAAGUUGGAAACUGCCCAACCACAGGAAAACAGCCCGGUAAAGACUGAGAGUGUAGGGGAUAGGCUGCAGGGAGUGGACAGGGUCCUCAAGGGCCCAAAGGGCACAAUGAAAAAACUCAUCAAAGAAUUGAUGUGUCAGAGGAAGCAGAAUGCCCAUCCACCUGUGGAGAACACUGCCAAGGAAGUGGAGCUCAGGAGGCUGUCCCCAAGAAAGCUAGAGCAGCUCCACAUGAUGCAGAGGCCCAGGAAGUCAGUGGGAAGCUCCUUCAACACAAAACCUUCGUUUCUAAAUGGACAUAAGGCAUCAGUCUCUUCUUCCCUGCCUUCUGGCUCCACCCCUCCUAAAUCUGAGGUUAAACACGAAUCAAAAGACUUGGCCUACACUAUUUUAGAAGAUGCAGAUACUAGAGUUAGAAAUAUGGAGGUUUCUGAACCACCAUCACAUCCCAGGAAAAAGCACUUUUUCCUUGGUACUCGCUCUCAUGCACAGAUUAUUCCAGGCCAAAAGGAACCACAAUUUGAGAAGGAAAGAGCUACUCAGGAGAAUAUCUGCAAGUAGGCCUCCCUCCUCUGCAGGGAGGAGCCUCAUAAAUCCUUCUUCACAAGAAGCU
Camelus dromedarius (Arabian camel) is the source of this 1292-nucleotide long non-coding RNA. RefSeq lists it as uncharacterized. The record is from RefSeq and is a predicted model, not a curated record. The transcript is spliced from 3 exons. Lineage: Eukaryota; Metazoa; Chordata; Mammalia; Artiodactyla; Camelidae.